ACUUUCUUAGUAUUUAAGUACAUUUGACUUCCAAUCAUAAAGAUCUGGUAUUAACCCAGAAGAAAGUA
RNAcentral lists this transfer RNA (68 nucleotides) under Zenkerella insignis (Cameroon scaly-tail). RNAcentral's name for it is "tRNA-Gly". It matches the Rfam family "tRNA". From Rfam's summary of the family: Transfer RNA (tRNA) molecules are approximately 80 nucleotides in length. Their secondary structure includes four short double-helical elements and three loops (D, anti-codon, and T loops). Lineage: Eukaryota; Metazoa; Chordata; Mammalia; Rodentia; Anomaluridae. The record is from RNAcentral.